Molecule: non-coding RNA, 1289 nt
Organism: Podarcis lilfordi (Lilford's wall lizard)
Lineage: Eukaryota; Metazoa; Chordata; Lepidosauria; Squamata; Lacertidae
Source: the annotation of a GenBank genome assembly
CUGAGACCUGGGACUCACCCGGAUUUUCCCUCUUACUUGUAUCAUUGGAUCUCUGCUGAGACCACACGUCUCAUUCCAUGGGCUUUAACUUGACUGGAAUGUGUGUUUCAACUGUGAUAAUGCCUCACCUGAAUGGAAGAUGGAGAAAUGUAUUUGUGGGUGGGUGUGCAUAGAAGACCUCUGACUAAAUGCACCCCCACAGUGCAAAGGUAAGUCACAUCUGUUGGCUGGCACACUUAAGGCUCUGGCAUGCACUCCCUAGAAUUUUGUACAUUUGAGAUUUCAACCCUUGGGCUGAAAUGGGUUCCCCACCCCUAACCUAAGGUAUGCAGUUGCUCUGUGCGUGGACUAAUUGAGUUAGGGAGUCUUCUCUAGUGAAAUAACUCCAUGUGUGUACAGCCCUUUCAGUUGCUGACCAAAUGCAUGGUUGGUGAGUGAGUGGACUAGCCCAUGUGACCACAUCCCCUCACGAGUUCUUUCAGUGCGAAGUGGGUGUUACAUGAACUCUGUUAGGUGACUAUGGUAAGCAGCUUACAAUUUAUUUUUGAAUGUAUUUAUUUAUUUUAUUUAUCCAUUUAUAAUCUGAUAUAGAUAGAUGGAUAGAUGAUAGAUAGAUAGAUGAUAGAUAGAUAUGAAAGAUAGAUGAUAGACAGAUAGAUAGAUAGAUAGAUAGAUAGAUAGAUAGAGAUAGAUGAUAAAUGGUAUACAACAUAUAAGAAUAAGAUAAGAAAAGCAUGCACAAAACAUUAUUAAACACAUCAGUCAAUAUUGGGUCCACCACAUGCAAUCUGGCUAGUUUACUAAUGCAGUAGAUAUGUAAGUCCUAUUCAAAUGUUCCACCUCACUAUCCAUGAAUUAGGAACCACAUCUGUAGAGGAGAGUGUGCUUUUGUGCUUGUAGAAUCCCCUGGUGAUGUGAAACUCUGUGCACUCAGGGGCAAGCCUAUGUGCCUAGAACAAGCUCCCCAAAUGCAUGGCUGGUGGCAGACAGAGCCAGUGGACAUGAUCCCAUUAUUCCUCUCACACAGUGGUUAAUCACUCUAGUUUAGCACAUAUGUCCCCCUAAUUAUUUAAUAAAAGUCUACAUUGAUUCAGUAAAGAUCUCCUCGGAUGUAAUAAAAGUUUAUUUUGUCAUGCACACAGUUUUGUCUUUGCUCCCUGAAUUCAGUAUUCCUCGAAACUCAGCUUCAUAUGAAAUAAUUCAUGGAUUCACACAGAUUUUCCCAAAUCUACCACUUUAUCUUCUAAUCAUUAGAAACUGCAAUUUGACUGGAGAGUGGAAUGCAUGCC